AAUGCCGGAUGAGUUAUAUAAGUGCAUGUUUAUAUAGGAAAAGUUGGGGAGACCUGACGCUGAAAGAUGGACUCGCGUCCCAUUAGCUAGUUGGUAGGGUAAUGGCCUACCAAGGCGACGAUGGGUAGCCGGCCUGAGAGGGUGGCCGGCCACACUGGGACUGAGACACGGCCCAGACUCCUACGGGAGGCAGCAGUGGGGAAUUUUGCGCAAUGCUCGUAAGAGUGACGCAGCGACGCCGCGUGAAUGACGAAGGCCCUCGGGUCGUAAAGUUCUUUCGACAGGGAAGAAAAUGCCUAUAAGUAACUGUGUAUGUAUUGACGGUACCUGUAUAAGCAGCCCCGGCUAACUCCGUGCCAGCAGCCGCGGUAAUACGGAGGGGGCGAGCGUUGUUCGGAGUGACUGGGCGUAAAGAGCACGUAGGCGGUGUUGUAAGUCAUUAGUCAAAGACUAGAGCUCAACUUUAGUAAGGCUAGUGAUACUAUAAUACUAGAGUAUCAGAGAGGAUUGCAGAAUUCCUGGUGUAGCGGUGAAAUGCGUAGAUAUCAGGAGGAAUACCGUUAGCGAAGGCGGCAAUCUGGCUGGAAACUGACGCUGAGGUGCGAAAGCGUGGGUAGCAAACAGGAUUAGAUACCCUGGUAGUCCACGCUGUAAACGAUGGAUGCUAGGUGUUGGGCUUUUAAGUUCAGUGCCGCAGC
This 698-nucleotide ribosomal RNA is filed under the name uncultured bacterium. RNAcentral's name for it is "bacterial SSU rRNA". It matches the Rfam family "Bacterial small subunit ribosomal RNA", at positions 165 to 852 of the family's 1533-position model. The record is from RNAcentral.